Molecule: ribosomal RNA, 497 nt
Filed under: uncultured bacterium
Lineage: Bacteria
Description: partial 16S ribosomal RNA
Rfam family: Bacterial small subunit ribosomal RNA
Source: RNAcentral
GAUGAACGCUGGCGGCGUGCCUAAUACAUGCAAGUCGAGCGAACAGACGAGGAGCUUGCUCCUCUGACGUUAGCGGCGGACGGGUGAGUGACACGUGGAUAACCUACCUAUAAGACUGGGAUAACUUCGGGAAACCGGAGCUAAUACCGGAUAAUAUAUUGAACCGCAUGGUUCAAUAGUGAAAGACGGUUUUGCUGUCACUUAUAGAUGGAUCCGCGCCGCAUUAGCUAGUUGGUAAGGUAACGGCUUACCAAGGCAACGAUGCGUAGCCGACCUGAGAGGGUGAUCGGCCACACUAGAACUGAGACACGGUCCAGACUCCUACGGGAGGCAGCAGUAGGGAAUAUUCCGCAAUGGGCGAAAGCCUGACGGAGCAACGCCGCGUGAGUGAUGAAGGUCUUCGGAUCGUAAAACUCUGUUAUUAGGGAAGAACAAAUGUGUAAGUAACUAUGCACGUCUUGACGGUACCUAAUCAGAAAGCCACGGCUAACUACGUG